This 465-nucleotide ribosomal RNA is filed under the name uncultured bacterium. Its description in RNAcentral is "partial 16S ribosomal RNA". It matches the Rfam family "Bacterial small subunit ribosomal RNA", at positions 338 to 795 of the family's 1533-position model. The record is from RNAcentral.
CCUACGGGUGGCAGCAGUGGGGAAUAUUGCGCAAUGGGCGAAAGCCUGACGCAGCGACGCCGCGUGAGGGAUGAAGGUCUUCGGAUCGUUAACCUCUGUCAGCAGGGAAGAACGGUCACUGUGCUAAUCCGCAGUGAAUUGACGUUACCUGCAAGGGAAGCACCGGCUAACUCCGUGCCAGCCGCCGCGGUAAUACGGAGGGUGCGAGCGUUAAUCGGAAUUACUGGGAGUAAAGCGCUCGUAGGCGGUAUGUCAAGUCAAGGGUGAAAUCCCCGCGCUCAACGUGGGAAUUGCCUUUGAAACUGGCAGACUGGAGUGUGUGAGAGGUAUGUGGAAUUCGAGGUGUAGGAGUGAAAUGCGUAGAUAUCUGGAGGAACAUCAGUGGCGAAGGCGACUAUCUGGCACAUAACUGACGCUGAGGAGCGAAAGCGUGGGUAGCAAACAGGAUUAGAUACCCGGGUAGUC